This is a long non-coding RNA of Malus domestica (apple), 543 nucleotides long. RefSeq lists it as uncharacterized. NCBI's taxonomy places the organism in Eukaryota, Viridiplantae, Streptophyta, Magnoliopsida, Rosales, Rosaceae. The record is from RefSeq and is a predicted model, not a curated record.
UCUCGACUUUUCCAUUUGUUUCCACAACGAAGCUUUUCCAUUUGUUUCCAGAUGAACCUCUCCGGUUCACUCUCUCAGAACUGCGAACUACAACAUCCUCCUCGGUUCGACGUCAUCUCCUCCCUUCCCCUUUGUUGGACAACAUCUCCCCCUCCAGGCUCCUCCCUCAUUCCUUUUCCUCCGUUAGGCAGCGUCUCCUCCGCUCCUUCUCCUGGGUCUGAAAAGAAAAGAGCUGCAGAUUACGGUGGCUCAGUUAUCUCCUCCCGAAUGUCCGUCGUGCCAACAUCACCCUUGAAGAGCAGGUUCUGGUUCUUGAGCUUCACCCUAGCUGGGGUAACAUGUAACUAUACAUAAUCAUCAUCAAAACAUAUGAUAAAUAAUUAUUCUAAUUGCAUGCACGAAUAUUCGAGCUUUGCAAGUACCACCGAUGCUCUUCCCCUUACUCAAUCUACUGUUGUUGCUUUAUCUCCGUUCCUCUGCCUUGAGAGAUCGGAAACUGGAAACCCCAAAGUUGAAAUAGAAACCUAAUGUUCUUUUCUCUUC